Molecule: transfer RNA, 73 nt
Filed under: Nocardia cyriacigeorgica
Lineage: Bacteria; Bacillati; Actinomycetota; Actinomycetes; Mycobacteriales; Nocardiaceae
Description: tRNA-Pro
Rfam family: tRNA
About the family: Transfer RNA (tRNA) molecules are approximately 80 nucleotides in length. Their secondary structure includes four short double-helical elements and three loops (D, anti-codon, and T loops).
Source: RNAcentral
CCGCCCGUAGGGAAGUUGGUAUCCCGCCUCAUUUGGGAUGAGGAAAUCGCAGGUUCGAAUCCUGUCGGGCAGA